AGUGAACGCUGGCGGUAGGCCUAACACAUGCAAGUCGAACGGCAGCACAGUAAGAGCUUGCUCUUACGGGUGGCGAGUGGCGGACGGGUGAGGAAUACAUCGGAAUCUACUUUUUCGUGGGGGAUAACGUAGGGAAACUUACGCUAAUACCGCAUACGACCUACGGGUGAAAGCAGGGGAUCUUCGGACCUUGCGCGAUUGAAUGAGCGGAUGUCGGAUUAGUUAGUUGGCGGGGUAAAGGCCCACCAAGGCGACGAUCCGUAGCUGGUCUGAGAGGAUGAUCAGCCACACUGGAACUGAGACACGGUCCAGACUCCUACGGGAGGCAGCAGUGGGGAAUAUUGGACAAUGGGCGCAAGCCUGAUCCAGCCAUACCGCGUGGGUGAAGAAGGCCUUCGGGUUGUAAAGCCCUUUUGUUGGGAAAGAAAAGCAGCAGGUUAAUACCCCGCUGUUCUGACGGUACCCAAAGAAUAAGCACCGGCUAACUUCGUG
RNAcentral lists this ribosomal RNA (492 nucleotides) under uncultured bacterium. RNAcentral describes it as "partial 16S ribosomal RNA". It matches the Rfam family "Bacterial small subunit ribosomal RNA", at positions 29 to 507 of the family's 1533-position model. The record is from RNAcentral.